This 484-nucleotide ribosomal RNA is filed under the name uncultured bacterium. Its description in RNAcentral is "partial 16S ribosomal RNA". It matches the Rfam family "Bacterial small subunit ribosomal RNA", at positions 30 to 507 of the family's 1533-position model. The record is from RNAcentral.
AUUGAACGCUGGCGGCAGGCCUAACACAUGCAAGUCGAGCGGAUGAAGGGAGCUUGCUCCUGGAUUCAGCGGCGGACGGGUGAGUAAUGCCUAGGAAUCUUCCUGGUAGUGGGGGAUAACGUCCGGAAACGGGCGCUAAUACCGCAUACGUCCUGAGGGAGAAAGUGGGGGAUCUUCGGACCUCACGCUAUCAGAUGAGCCUAGGUCGGAUUAGCUAGUUGGUGGGGUAAAGGCCUACCAAGGCGACGAUCCGUAACUGGUCUGAGAGGAUGAUCAGUCACACUGGAACUGAGACACGGUCCAGACUCCUACGGGAGGCAGCAGUGGGGAAUAUUGGACAAUGGGCGAAAGACUGAUCCAGCCAUGCAGCGUGUGUGAAGAAGGUCUUCGGAUUGUAAAGCACUUUAAGUUGGGAGGAAGGGCAGUAAGUUAAUACCUUGCUGUUUUGACGUUACCAACAGAAUAAGCACCGGCUAACUUCGUG